CAUUUCUGAGACUCAUUAUUGUAAACAGGUCAUGAGGUAAAAGACAUUUGCAGAUAGCCUCGGGUGAGGCCUUAACUCGUCUGCAACAUGUGCCGGAAACGGCCCAGGAUGCACUCGCUGUAUUACAUGACUGCUGACUAUACAGUGAUUUUACAGAUUCCAGGAGCUGCUUAGUACAGAAAAAAACCACUAUUACCAACCCAUGACACACUCAAUCACACUUAUAAUCAGUAGAGAUACAACAGAAAUGAUUGCGGGGGAAGGAUUACGAAACGUCUGGAUUCAAACACAAAAUGCCCACAUACAGAGCACCUCAACAUGCCAGCGCAUGUGUGCGCCAAAUCAGACAAAUACACACACUGCAGCUAAAAU
Long non-coding RNA from Cyprinus carpio (common carp), 372 nucleotides. RefSeq lists it as uncharacterized. The record is from RefSeq and is a predicted model, not a curated record. NCBI's taxonomy places the organism in Eukaryota, Metazoa, Chordata, Actinopteri, Cypriniformes, Cyprinidae.